This 1364-nucleotide long non-coding RNA is filed under the name Accipiter nisus (Eurasian sparrowhawk). RNAcentral's name for it is "lncRNA (ENSANIG00000007887.1)". Lineage: Eukaryota; Metazoa; Chordata; Aves; Accipitriformes; Accipitridae. The record is from RNAcentral.
GUUUGUCCAGGAUGCUGAGCAAAAGCAGUCUUCAGAGGGAUGGGGAUAUAUUCUAUUAGAUGGCUGCGUGUGCAGAAGAACUGUGUACAUGUGUUGCUAAAUCCAGAAAAAGCUGUGAGCCACAAAACUUGUAUUGUAUUCUGGGAAAAAUGCCAAUAUGUGCAUUCUCUAAAUCCAUAUUGUGCAGUGAGCUAGGAAGAGGUACAGAGGAAAGAGAAGGUGGUAGCGGAAGAAAUCUCUUCUGCACUGAAAUAAUAUGGGUAGAAGAGCUGUUUGGGUGAGCUAAGUUUUCAAACUUUAAGAUCACCAUAUGCCUUUUCUCUUCAAGUAUGAGUAUUCAAUUUUGAUUGCAGCAGGUCAAAAUCCCUCUUUCUCCCUCUCCCCUCCCUCCCCUUCUUCCUCUCCCUCUUCCACCUUCCAUGCAAACAAGGAAGAAAUUUAUACAAUUUGGAGCAAUUUCUUUUUACUUUUUCUUUAACAGAAGCAAGUCAACUGCACCAAAGAAUCACUGAGAGUGUAUACCAUGCACCAAUGGAUUCCUCCAAUGCAAGCAGGUAUAGCAGGAAGUCAUCAAGUAUAUACGAAAACAAAUCUGAGACAUCAAACGUGGAAGCAUCUAACAAUAAAAACAGGAAUUCCAGUCCCAGCGCCAGACAAAAGAGAGGUAGGAGUUCUGAGACAGAGCUUUUUGCUUCUAAAGGGUAAUAUCUUUAUUUUCGCACACUUAUUUCUGGAGUUUGAUGAGGAUAUUUUGAAUGUGUGUUGUUUAAACCCAAAGUCAAAAUAAACAGUGCUACAAAGCUGAGUAAUUGUACCAUGAAACUUCCUGAACACCAAAAAACGUUACCAGUUUAGUUUUUUUUAAGUCUAAGUUUUGAUGCAUUACAGUCCUUUUUUACAACUUGUGGUUUUUAAAAAUAGAAUUGGGGGGGUUGCUAUAGUAUAUGUAUUUUAAUCUUCUAUAUCCUGGCUAAGUUGGUUUCUAGCCAUAUUUAAGAUUGUCUAUGGACUUUGCUAACCAAUUUCCUUGCUUUAUGUCAAAGAGAUUUUUUUUGCCUCCUCUGUGUAUAGGUUCCCCUCUAGUGUAUGGUAAAUAAAGGCACAUACGGUCACAGAAAGUCCCUCCGUUAUUUGAGGGUGUAAAUACAAUAAAUUUAUUCUAUACAAUGUAUGUUAAAAUGAACACUAAAAAGAAACUGGGUCUCAUCUGGCAGUAGCAGGAACAGAAAGUCUUUCAACAGCAGUUUCUCUUUUUAGGUGGUAUUUUGAAAUGUUAGAGCAAAGACUUUUCUAAUAAUACAAAAAAGAAAAUUGCGAGGUCUUAAGAGAUUAACGUCCAAAUCAGGCUUAAAGUAACAGCAGCC